RNAcentral lists this ribosomal RNA (450 nucleotides) under uncultured Caenimonas sp. Its description in RNAcentral is "bacterial SSU rRNA". It matches the Rfam family "Bacterial small subunit ribosomal RNA", at positions 929 to 1382 of the family's 1533-position model. The record is from RNAcentral. Lineage: Bacteria; Pseudomonadati; Pseudomonadota; Betaproteobacteria; Burkholderiales; Comamonadaceae.
GCGGUGGAUGAUGUGGAUUAAUUCGAUGCAACGCGAAAACCUUACCUACCCUUGACAUGUCUGGAACCUUGCUGAGAGGCGAGGGUGCCUUCGGGAGCCAGAACACAGGUGCUGCAUGGCUGUCGUCAGCUCGUGUCGUGAGAUGUUGGGUUAAGUCCCGCAACGAGCGCAACCCUUGUCAUUAGUUGCUACAUUUAGUUGGGCACUCUAAUGAGACUGCCGGUGACAAACCGGAGGAAGGUGGGGAUGACGUCAAGUCCUCAUGGCCCUUAUAGGUGGGGCUACACACGUCAUACAAUGGCCGGUACAAAGGGCUGCCAACCCGCGAGGGGGAGCCAAUCCCAUAAAACCGGUCGUAGUCCGGAUCGCAGUCUGCAACUCGACUGCGUGAAGUCGGAAUCGCUAGUAAUCGUGGAUCAGAAUGUCACGGUGAAUACGUUCCCGGGUCUU